AGUAUCGUCGCUGUCAAUUUGCAUGACAGUAUCGGCCCUGCUUUCCUUUUUUUUUUCGUCAUCCCUCUCCUUUCUCGUGCAUAAUUUCCUGCGUGGGUGCGCUUGCGCGGCUCAUCUGUCGGCUGCUCGCCUCCCCUCCCUCCCCGCCUCCCCCCGACCCUGCAGUCGGUGCUGAUGGGCGUUUCCGUUCCUUAAUCCCUUACCUGUUUCUUAUUCCUCGUGCAAGGCAGGUGAUUGGAUGUUCGGCUGCUUGUCUGCCUUGAAGCGAUUCUGCCAUUCUUGCGGGUCGAGGGCACCACCAUCGACAGCCUCAUCUCCAGCGGUUACAUCCUUUUUCGUUCCGUGCGCGUGUGUGUCUGUGAGCCGCCCUCCCUCCCUCCCUCUGUCUCUCACACAACACAUACACACAACACACACACACACACACACACACAGACAUAUACCGUAGGCUCGAGCUCGAGAAGGCGGGCACGGCUGCAUCUGUGUGUAUACACAACGCUACGCAGAAGAUAUCAAGCGCACCGUCACGCCUACUCCAGCACCGCGACAUCGCUGGCAGCUGCCACGCCCUCGACCUUCCCGUCUCGCCCCCCCCCCCCACUCCUUCCUCCCUCACGCAUACAUACGAAAUCGCAUCGUGCUCCACGAAAGGUGAGUGCAGGGGAGCAUCCUGCGGGGAGUUUCAGUGAUCCGCAGAAGCAGGCUAAGUCCGCUUGCGCGCGCGUGCGCUCCGUGAACAAGCGAAUUGCCGGCAACGUGGGAUCUGCUGGAAUACGCAACGAAAGACGCAAGGAGGGGCCCGGGUCGCGGACCCGCUGCCUCCCUCCUUUCGCGGAGCCAUCGCGGCUCUCUUUCUUCAUCUUUCCCUCCUUCUUCCCCUUCAGCGCUCUUAUUGUUCCUUGAGAAGGCCUCGGCGCUGGGCCAUGUCAAGUGGUCCGCUGAGGAUGCCGACACCCUCGGCGCCGUCUACGCCGCCGCCACCUACCGCCACCCAACAUCACCACACCUCAUCGUGGAGGAGCUGGGGAACGAAGGGGACCGGCCAAAGGGUCGCCGAGGGCGGUGGCAGCACCACCACCGGCUCACCAAAUUCUUCGGCGGCACCGCCGAGCGUGUCGGUGACAGUUGUGGUGCUGGCUGCGCUGACAGCUGCCACGGUCUCGGUAGCGUACAACUCCUAUAAGGUGCGGAGCCGCAGCAGCCGCGUGUACCGUAGUCAGUCUACGACUCCUGAACACCCGUGCACGAGGCACGGAGAGGCCUCAGAUCCUUCGCACACGGGCGACAUCGCGAUGGACAGCGUCAAGACUGCUUCACCCUUGUCGCCCAGCACCGCAAGGAGUGACGCGACAACUUGUUGUCGCAGCACCUCACUUGGCGGUUGCGGCUCCACAGCAGCGCACACCGUCGCUGGUGAGAACCCGUCGUCGACCGCGGCAUCAGAGAAUGAGCUCGACGAGGGGGGUCAGCGCGAGCGGGACGUGAUGGCGCAAUCGCCUUCGUUGGCGCUCCACACAGAUACCGCCGCGGACGCUGGUGCGCGUUCCGGCAACCGCGACAUGCGAUUUGCCCUGUGUAGUGCGCCGCCCUUGCAGAUGGCGCACGACAGUACGGCUGAGUUUCAUGAUCGGUGCGCCACACCAGCCGCUUCUGCCGCCCCAUCGCCGCCGCCACCAGAAACGCCCAAGGCGCUCCUUAGCAACUACUACGACUUGGAGCCGUACGCGCUUCAGGGUCUUGCCGGCGGCGCCCACGGGUGGAAGCGCGUGUUUGGGCUGCUGAAGCCCGAGAUGCGCAGGCGCAGCGGGAGAGAUGAGGCGUGCGCUGAGGAUGGAGGUACAGCCGCUGAUGGCAUACCUGGCCGCCGCGCGCCGGGUUCACUGACGCGCACGUACGAUGGCUCCCGCGUUACCACCACCGACAGCCCUGCGCUGCUGCGGGAGAGCCCCGGCGCGAUUGUGCCGGUCACCCCAGCCGCCGCGACGAGGUCACCGACGCGGCGCGCGUCUGCUGUAGAGAGCAUGUAUCGCAGCAGCGUCGUAAAAAGCGACGUCUCGGUGCACAGCCGUGUGCCGGGGCAGCCGGUGGCGACGGGGAAGCCGUGCACGGCGCGGUGGUACGGCGACGACCACAAACUCUUUUCCGUGGCCGCAGCCUCCUCCACGUCAGCGAGCACGCUCGCGCAGCCGUUGCAUCCGCCACGGCUCUCCGUCUCGCCGGUUGCCGGGGUGCCGUCGCCGCCAAGUCGCUUCCUUAACUCCUUCUUUUUCCCUGUGCUACAGCACCUCAGCUUCUGCGUGAGCCGAAGUGUAGGCAGCGGCCCCGGGGAAAGCACCACCACUGGUGAGGCGACCUCCGGGACGGCCGGGAGCGGCGUGCACACGGCGUCUACCACCAACACUUUCGCUACUUCAGCAGCGUUGGCGGUGGCGCAGCGUAAUCUGCAGCGAGACAUCUCUACCUUGGUGGCCACGACAGCGUCAGUUCGGCUGGGGGCCUCCGCCUCUUCGUCCUUUCCGGGUUCCCAUGCUCACACAGCGCGCUGCUCCGCCGUGUCGUCGGUGGCUGUAUCUCCGCGGGCCGGCGCCACAGGGUCGUGCAGAUCGCAACAGCAGCACGAGGGGGUGACAGCAGCAGAGUCCUGCUCGUCGUUCGCCGCACUGCACGCAGGGCGCAGCUCCAGCGGCGGGCAGCGGAGAAAAGGUGUGUCUGUGGAGGGCGAGGAGGGGGCGGCGCAGCACGUCUUGGGGUCUCAUGCGCGCUUCCUGUCGGCGGAGGAUAAGCAGCAGCCGGGUAUGCGCGGCAGCCCUCGCCAUCAGAGCUCAGGUGCCUGCCGUCAAACGCCCGCCAGCUCGCAGAAAAGCGACCGCAGUGCCACGUGGAGCGGUGCGGGUCCGUGCAAACAGAGUAUACGGGAGUCUGCGCAGGAGCGAAGGAUGCCGCCGCACCCCUCACCCCGUGCCGCAGCAACAGCCGCUGGGGCCACGGCCGACAGUGGCGCAGUCCCGGCGCCACCAGAGGCGUCGUCCACGGAGGAACCGAACGCUGCAGGCACCGAGUCGGUUGGCGAGCCUGCUUCUCCCCCGACCAUGGCUCACUGCUGCACCAUCGCCGAACAGCUGGCCGUGUUGACGAGUCGUCGAGAGCAGCAACAUCGCUACACACAGCAGCUACAGGCAAGCAGGAGGUCGGCUGGGCUCGGCGCCGGCGCCGAGAAUGCGCUGCCGUCUCCUCUGGCCACCCCAUCGUCACCUGCCUACACGGGCGCUGCUGCGGCGUCGACGACCUUAGAUGUCUCCAAUGCAGAGCUCAGCAAGAAAGCCAGCGGUAUGCGCAGCCCAUUCGCCUGGGCUUCGCAGUACUACACGGACACGGCGUCAGGGGUAUUCUACUCCUCCGUGCUGCAGCCGCACCACUACGAGAACCACGUCUACUCCGACGUCACGACUGAGGUGCAGCAGUGCAGGCGAAGGCGUCAGCGGGACCGUGUGACGAGUCUUGGCGCGGGCGUCACCCCUGCCUCGAGGGCGGGCGCAGAGGACGAGGAUGUGGGGCACGAGACGCACACGGCCACGCCGAUGGCGACAGGAGCAGGAGCAGCAACAGCUGCGUCUACAAGACGCUCUAUGGAGCGGCCGGCAGCCGAGUCGAGUCUCACGGCUGGCUUACAGCCAGCCGCAGCUCGCAAGGCCUCUGCAUCGGCAGGUACCGCCAUCCUGACAUCCGGCGUGGGCAGUGUAGCCCCGCUGAGCCAUUCAAAGCCGACGCAGCCCUCGAACGAGCGCCGCGUUGACGACUUGACCGUGAAGCACCAGGAUGAUGGCUCGGCUUCGUACACCAUCUCCCUCACUUACCACGACAGCGAAACCGGCACCUCGCGCACGGUGAACACGAGUGCGCUGCCGCCGCUGCGCCGCUGUGACGCCGGCGCGUCAAUCCCGGGCCUCUCGUCUCUCUCCGGCGGCACAACCGUGCGUGCUGCCGCCCGCACGAAACGCCCAACCACGACGGCGACGCUAGCCUUGAGUGCCUCUGGUGCCGCGUCACCGGCGCACUCGCGCAGCGUCAGUGGUGGUGAGGCCGCUCACGCAUUCGCCGUAAGCUCGCCGCCUGCGCGUCCCGCUACUGCCACCAUGAUGGGGAAGUCACUGCUUCAUUCGCAGCCGCAUCAAGCAUCUGAUGCAGAGGACAACGAUAACGCGUCGACGACGCUUGGUCUCGCGCAGGCGGCGAGGACAGGCGGCGGGCGACCGAGGCCGGCGCCGCGCAGCAGCAUCAGCGUUGGCGGCAGCCUCAAGUAUUGUAGCUCCCCGGCAGCGGGGGCGACGGCAGCUGGUUCAGCGAGCGGUAGCCCCGCGUGCGACGCCGCGGCGGCGUCGACUACCACCGCCAGCGGUAAGGUAAACCCGUUUGCUGCGCCGUUGCCGCCUACAGAGCCGCAGCAUGGCCCUCGGUUGCGGGGUGUCGCGGGGCGCAACGGCGAGAUGGCGAUUGGCGCCUUCCUCGGCGGUGGCGCCUGCGGCAAGGUGUACGAGUGCUUGAACACAGAGACUGGGCAGGUGCUGGCAGCAAAGCAGAUCGUCUUCGACGCGAAGGAUCGGAAGCUGCGAACGCGGUUGAAGCAGCUAGAGCUGGAGCUGGAGGUACUGACGCUUGCGGCGCGUCAUCACGUGCGGUGGAUUGUGGGCUUCUUCGGUGCGGAGAAGCGUGGCCACUCGGUUCUCAUGUACCUCGAGUACUGCCAGCACGGGUCCUUGCUGGACUACAUGAUGGAAGGCAACAGCACCGAUGCUGCUGUGUGGAACACUAGCAGUGCCCUGGAUGAUGCUACCCCGAAACCGUCGACUGCCCCUGCCGACCGUAGCGCGGGCUGCCACUUCGACGCAAAUGGCAGCCCACCAGUCGCUGCGGUGGCGGCGUGGCGACGGCACACCGAGAGCGUAAACGAAGACGCUAGCUGCCUGAGCGCGCGCUCCCCACUUCGGGGUCUGCGCGAGGUGCGCGAGAGCCACACCGAGGCCGCUGCCGCCCCCAAAACGAAUUCGCCAAAGCAGCAGCGGCAGCAGCAGCAGGUCGCAGAUGGCGGCUCCGCUGCGGCGGGGCAUGCUCAGAGGGCGGAGGCAGAGGAGGCCGCAGCCACAGGCCACGCCUCUCCGCAAGUCCGCACGCACCGAGAGGAGAGCGCCGAGGGUGAGGAGUACCCUGAGCGCCGCGAAGGGGACUGCCUCUCUACCGCCGCCGCUUCCGUCUCCUCGGCAGCCAGCUCCGUUGCCUUAUCCAGCUCGGCGUUGGACAUGAUGCCGCUGAGCGAGGCGCUACACCCGCAGAUGCCGUCCUUGUCUAUUGAGCAGGCACAGUGCUUCACGAAACAAAUCGUCGAGGGCCUUUGCUUCCUGCAUCAGCACAACUACGCCCACCUCGAUGUGAAGACGGCGAACGUGCUCGUCGCGGCCGACGACGAGUGCCGCUUGGCGGACCUCGGGUGCGCUAUGCGCCUCCAGCCACCGCCACCGGCGUCGCCGCCGCCGCCGCAACAGGGACUGGCAGGGAUGGAUAAGGCGGUGAGGGGAGGCGCCAACGGCGACCUCGACGACGCCUUUUCGCCACCCCCCUAUCCAGUGUUGGUUGACCGAGACGCCAUCACUGAACUUCGCGGCACGGCCCUUUACAUGGCGCCAGAGAUGAUCCGCUUCGAGAGCCAUGCCAUCGGCAGUCCCGCCGACGUGUGGUCGCUGGGGUGCGUCGUGAUGGAGAUGACGACCGGCUGCGCCCCGUGGCGGCACAUUGCGAAGGACAAGCUGCGAGUGUUGUACCGGAUCGGCUCGGCACGCGAUGAGCUGCCGUUGCCGCCGCUCAUACGCGCGUGGGCGGAGGAGGCCAGAGAGUGGCUGGUGCGGGAAGGCUUGUCGGCAACGGUUGAUGCUGAGAAGCAGCAGGAUGAUGUGGCAGCGUGCGCUAUGGAGGCGGGCGGCGUUGCUCAAGCACCUCGCAGCCGCUCAGCGUCGAAAAAGGACCGUGAAGUCAGCGGCGUUGACCGCGACAGCGGUGUCGUCGGUGGCGACCUUGACAACGCGGUUUCGGACACGCUUGAUGAGCCCUGCUCACAGCGCCGGCGCGUUGAUCACGGCACUUACGGUUGCGAAGCCACUGCCACGCCGCGCUCCUCGUCGGCCUUGACCGCGAAGAUGCCGGCUUCGGUGCGUACCCCUGCCACUAGCACUCGCGGCGGCACGACAUCCUCGUCUUUCGCGCGUGCCGCCUCUGCGAUGACCGCGGGACUGCAGCUCGGCGAAUCGAACCCCCUCGACGAAGAGCGCUUCUUCCGCGAACAACGCCACGUCAUGCGUCUCUACGUGGCGCUGCAAGACUUCGUUACCGCGUGUGUGAGGGUGCGACCAGAGGACCGCAGCAGCACGGCGGAGCUGCUCCGCCAUCCCUUCCUGACUCUCUGCAAGGAUGAUAUCUAGGAGGGACUGCAACGGGUGUCGUCACGCAGCGGAUGUGGGGGCGUGGCGCGUCUGGCCCUUUUCUUUCGGCGUGUUGUCCCCAUGCUGCGUGCAUUGAGGCGCGGACGCUGUUUCGCUCUCUGUUUCCUCAGCCUCUUUACCGUGGUGACGGUGGUGGCUAGCAGGAAGGGCGACUGCACCGAUGCUGCCUUCUUGAUGCCCUCUCAAGCGGCCGAUGCACAUAUUCAUUGCCGCCGUCCCAUCCCCUUCCUCGCCUGGCGGGCCGAUGUGUGCGUGCGUGCGUGAGGGGUCUUUCUCUCCCGCGUGACCGCUCUUGGCCACUCCUCGUGCUCCUGUGCCUGCCCGCUUCUCUUUCCCUCUCAGGCCCCCCUCCCCGCUCUCUCACCGACUACCGCCAGGGCUUCGAUAGCGUUGUCUGAUGAUGCAUGCUGUGCAACGCACGUGUCUCCCCUUCCAUGUGUGUGCGUGUGUGUCGCGCUCACUGGUCCGCGGCGCGUGUGUGCAUGGCGUCAUGUAAGCUGCCUUUGUUUGUCUGCGUAUAGGCUAGCAUGUGCCUGUGACGUGACCUCGAUCAUGCCGCUCUUCUCCCACGCCCGUCUUGCAGCACGCUGCCUUUUCCCUCGGUGUGUGCCCGUCUGCGUCUCGGUCGGUGAUGCGGUAUAUCAGUUGUGUACUACAACGUGAGCGAAAAGCACAAGGCGGAUGCCAUUGCACAGAAACCAACGCGUAACGCAGGGCAAUGAGGAGUCCGUCACACGCGUGCGCGGCAGUCCAGCGCCGUCUGCUCCGUCGUCGUCUCGACCUCCUCCUCUCUGUGCCCCACUUCCUCCCGCUUGACCGGAGCGCACGCCGAGUGUAGAGUGAGCGCCGCCGCCGCCGCCCCUUCACGCUAUGACGUGAUCGAAACUGCGCCAUCUCCGCCAGCGUGCGGCGCGUGUCUGCGUUUGUGUGAUG
This 7421-nucleotide unclassified non-coding RNA is filed under the name Leishmania donovani. RNAcentral's name for it is "gene:LdHU3.07.0930(CDS-product:protein_kinase_put ative)". The record is from RNAcentral. Lineage: Eukaryota; Euglenozoa; Kinetoplastea; Trypanosomatida; Trypanosomatidae.